GAUGAACGCUGGCGGCGUGCCUAAUACGUGCAAGUCGAGCGAACGGACGAGAAGCUUGCUUCUCUGAUGUUAGCGGCGGACGGGUGAGUAACACGUGGAUAACCUACCUAUAAGACUGGGAUAACUUCGGGAAACCGGAGCUAAUACCGGAUAAUAUUUUGAACCGCAUGGUUCAAAAGUGAAAGACGGUCCUGCUGUCACUUAUAGAUGGAUCCGCGCUGCAUUAGCUAGUUGGUAAGGUAACGGCUUACCAAGGCAACGAUGCAUAGCCGACCUGAGAGGGUGAUCGGCCACACUGGAACUGAGACACGGUCCAGACUCCUACGGGAGGCAGCAGUAGGGAAUCUUCCGCAAUGGGCGAAAGCCUGACGGAGCAACGCCGCGUGAGUGAUGAAGGUCUUCGGAUCGUAAAACUCUGUUAUUAGGGAAGAACAUAUGUGUAAGUAACUGUGCACAUCUUGACGGUACCUAAUCAGAAAGCCACGGCUAACUACGUG
This 497-nucleotide ribosomal RNA is filed under the name uncultured bacterium. RNAcentral's name for it is "partial 16S ribosomal RNA". It matches the Rfam family "Bacterial small subunit ribosomal RNA", at positions 28 to 507 of the family's 1533-position model. The record is from RNAcentral.